Non-coding RNA from Paramuricea clavata, 119 nucleotides. NCBI's taxonomy places the organism in Eukaryota, Metazoa, Cnidaria, Anthozoa, Malacalcyonacea, Plexauridae. The record is from the annotation of a GenBank genome assembly.
AGAAGCUAGGGGAGGAAUGCGAAGGCGAGAGAAAGAGAUCGAGGAAACAUGGGAGGGGCGAGAAAUCCAUUUUUCCUCGCUCUCUUUCUCUCGCCUUCGCAUUCCCCCCCCCCCCUAAC